Molecule: ribosomal RNA, 467 nt
Filed under: uncultured Chlamydiales bacterium
Lineage: Bacteria; Pseudomonadati; Chlamydiota; Chlamydiia; Chlamydiales
Description: bacterial SSU rRNA
Rfam family: Bacterial small subunit ribosomal RNA
Source: RNAcentral
CCUACGGGGGGCUGCAGUCGAGAAUCUUUCGCAAUGGGCGAAAGCCUGACGAAGCGACGCUGUGUGGACGAUGAAGGCCUUCGGGUUGUAAAGUCCUUUCGCGCAAGAACAAGAGAGGUUGUCUAAUAAACAGCCGAUUUGAGGGUACUGCGUAAAGAAGCACCGGCUAACUCCGUGCCAGCAGCUGCGGUAAUACGGAGGGUGCAAGCAUUAAUCGGAUUUACUGGGCGUAAAGGGCGCGUAGGCGGGUUUGUAAGUCAAUUGUGAAAUUCCGGAGCUCAACUUCGGAGCUGCAAUUGAAACUACAAGUCUAUAGAGGGGUGGCGGAGAAAACGGAAUUCCACGUGUAGCGGUGAAAUGCGUAGAUAUGUGGAAGAACACCAGUGGCGAAAGCGGUUUUCUAGCUAUUUCCUGACGCUGAGGCGCGAGAGCAUGGGGAGCAAACAGGAUUAGAUACCCUAGUAGUC